CUGGCGGCACGCCUAACACAUGCAAGUCGAACGCAGUAGCAAUACUGAGUGGCAAACGGGUGAGUAUAAUGUGGGAAUCUGCCUUUUGGUUUGGAAUAACACGGGGAAACUUGUGCUAAUACCAAAUAAGCCCUUACGGGGAAAGUUUUAACGCCGAAAGAUGAGCCCGCACUUGAUUAGCUAGUUGGUAAGGUAAAAGCUUACCAAGGCAACGAUCAAUAGCUGUUCUUAGAGGAAGACCAGCCACAUUGGGACUGAGACACGGCCCAGACUCCUACGGGAGGCAGCAGUGGGGAAUCUUGCACAAUGGGGGAAACCCUGAUGCAGCGAUGCCGCGUGAGUGAAGAAGGCCCUUGGGUUGUAAAACUCUUUCGUCGGGGAAGAAAAUGACUGUACCCGAAUAAGAAGGUCCGGCUAACUUCGUGCC
Molecule: ribosomal RNA, 427 nt
Filed under: uncultured bacterium
Lineage: Bacteria
Description: bacterial SSU rRNA
Rfam family: Bacterial small subunit ribosomal RNA
Source: RNAcentral